This 419-nucleotide ribosomal RNA is filed under the name uncultured bacterium. Its description in RNAcentral is "partial 16S ribosomal RNA". It matches the Rfam family "Bacterial small subunit ribosomal RNA", at positions 359 to 776 of the family's 1533-position model. The record is from RNAcentral.
CAUAUUGGUCAAUGGAGGCAACUCUGAAGCAGCCAAUUCGCGUGAAGGAUGAAGGUCUUAUGGAUUGUAAACUUCUUUUUCACGGGAAUAAAGUGGGUGUCGUGUCCUCCUUUGCAUGUACAUUGCGAUUUAGGAUCGGCUAACUCCGUGCAUGAAGCCGCGGUAAUACGGAGGUUCCGAGCGUUAUCCGGAUUUAUUGGGUUUAAAGGGUGCGCAGGCGGGAUGUUAAGUCGGCGGUGAAAUUUUGCAGCUCAACUGUAAAAGUGCCUUCGAUACUGGCUUUCUUGAGUGUGGAUGAAGUAGGCGGAAUUUGUGGUGUAGCGGUGAAAUGCUUAGAUAUCACGAGGAACUCCGAUUGCGCAGGCAGCUUACUAAACCACUACUGACGCUCAUGCACGAAGGCGUGGGGAUCAAACAGG